RNAcentral lists this ribosomal RNA (585 nucleotides) under uncultured bacterium. RNAcentral's name for it is "bacterial SSU rRNA". It matches the Rfam family "Bacterial small subunit ribosomal RNA", at positions 338 to 916 of the family's 1533-position model. The record is from RNAcentral.
CCUACGGGAGGCAGCAGUGGGGAAUUUUGGACAAUGGGCGAAAGCCUGAUCCAGCAAUGCCGCGUGUGGGAAGAAGGCCUUCGGGUUGUAAACCACUUUUGUACGGAACGAAACGGUUCGCUUUAAUACAGUGGGCUAAUGACGGUACCGUAAGAAUAAGCACCGGCUAACUACGUGCCAGCAGCCGCGGUAAUACGUAGGGUGCGAGCGUUAAUCGGAAUUACUGGGCGUAAAGCGUGCGCAGGCGGUUAUAUAAGACAGUUGUGAAAUCCCCGGGCUCAACCUGGGAAUUGCAUCUGUGACUGUAUAGCUAGAGUACGGUAGAGGGGGAUGGAAUUCCGCGUGUAGCAGUGAAAUGCGUAGAUAUGCGGAGGAACACCGAUGGCGAAGGCAAUCCCCUGGACCUGUACUGACGCUCAUGCACGAAAGCGUGGGGAGCAAACAGGAUUAGAUACCCUGGUAGUCCACGCCCUAAACGAUAGUCAACUGUUGUUGGGUGCAUUAGUACUCAGUAACGAAGCUAACGCGUGAAGUUGACCGCCUGGGGAGUACGGCCGCAAGGUUGAAACUUAAAGGAAUUGACGG